Long non-coding RNA from Saccostrea cuccullata (small rock oyster), 271 nucleotides. RefSeq lists it as uncharacterized. The transcript has 3 exons. NCBI's taxonomy places the organism in Eukaryota, Metazoa, Mollusca, Bivalvia, Ostreida, Ostreidae. The record is from RefSeq and is a predicted model, not a curated record.
UCUUUUAAAAUCUUCUUUUCAAAAAUAGCAAAGCCAUGAUUAGUGAUAUUUAUAUGGAAGCAUCCUCAGGUAGGGUCUCAAUGGUGGAUCAAAGUUUUACAUAGGAAAAUAAAGGGAAAAAUCUCAAUAGCAGAAAAGCUACUGUAGGAUCAACAUUGUUCAUGGGGAUCCAUUGUUUGUGGAUUUCGUGGGUCACCCUUACCCAUGAAUUUACAUCCCCUGAGUGUUUAUUUUGUUAGCAUAUUGGUUCAUUGAACCAUUGUAUUUGCGA